AUGCUAUGAUGUGGACAUUUUCUUAAUAAUGCUUUUAAUCUUUCCCAAGCCUGAUAAACUAACUUAGUACUAUUCUUCAUGAAAUUAGAAAUAUCUUUCUUAACUUU
Capsicum annuum is the source of this 107-nucleotide non-coding RNA. The record is from Rfam. Lineage: Eukaryota; Viridiplantae; Streptophyta; Magnoliopsida; Solanales; Solanaceae.